RNAcentral lists this ribosomal RNA (492 nucleotides) under uncultured bacterium. Its description in RNAcentral is "partial 16S ribosomal RNA". It matches the Rfam family "Bacterial small subunit ribosomal RNA", at positions 29 to 507 of the family's 1533-position model. The record is from RNAcentral.
AGUGAACGCUGGCGGUAGGCCUAACACAUGCAAGUCGAACGGCAGCACAGUAAUAGCUUGCUCUUACGGGUGGCGAGUGGCGGACGGGUGAGGAAUACAUCGGAAUCUACUUUUUCGUGGGGGAUAACGUAGGGAAACUUACGCUAAUACCGCAUACGACCUACGGGUGAAAGCAGGGGAUCUUCGGACCUUGCGCGAUUGAAUGAGCCGAUGUCGGAUUAGCUAGUUGGCGGGGUAAAGGCCCACCAAGGCGACGAUGCGUAGCUGGUCUGAGAGGAUGAUCAGCCACACUGGAACUGAGACACGGUCCAGACUCCUACAGGAGGCAGCAGUGGGGAAUAUUGGACAAUGGGCGCAAGACUGAUCCAGCCAUACCGCGUGGGUGAAGAAGGCCUUCGGGUUGUAAAGCCCUUUUGUUGGGAAAGAAAAGCAGCAGGUUAAUACCCCGCUGUUCUGACGGUACCCAAAGAAUAAGCACCGGCUAACUACGUG